AGGAAAUCCCUCGCCCCGCGUUCGGGGGGGGGCAGAAUUGGCCUCAGGGCGGGUGCAAGGAGGAGGAAGAGGAGGAGGAAACAGGAAAGUGAACUAAUCUCUCUUCCCUCUAUUCGGAACCCAAAGAGAAGAAUUAAGAGUCCAAACAUUUGCAAGGUACAAACAGAACAACAAGAAUUAUAUGGAACAACAUUUUCUGCUAUAGAAAAGAACCGAAUGUGAAGGCGGAAAAGAACAAAAUUAGACACCAAAAAGGAGGGGGAAAGGCAGAAGGGAAGCCGGCCCAGGACAAAGGAAAAUACAUCUCCAUCUUCUUAGGGCUCUAGUAUUCAUAACUAACUAUUCUAACUAUAGAAAAAAAGACACCGAGAAAAAAGGAAGAAAAUAGUGUCCCAUUAGAACAGAUACACUCAUGUGGGAAAGAAAGUGCAUUCCCUUUUAAUUCUAUGGUUUUGCGUAUCAGGACAUAAUAAUUUAAAAAUCCUGAUCCUUAGCAGGUCUGAAAAUUGAGUAAAUAGAACCUUAGAUAAACAACAACCCAUGGCAUAUUUGCACUGUGUCAUUACUUAUUUCAUAGAAGUAAAGCCAAAACGGAGAAGCCAUGUGUGAAAACCUAAGUACACCUUUACUGGUUCCACAGGAAUUAAGAGGCUAAGUAGCAGCCAGGUGCUGCUAACCCAGUGCCCUUGAGUAACUGAUUA
Non-coding RNA from Pogona vitticeps (central bearded dragon), 701 nucleotides. NCBI's taxonomy places the organism in Eukaryota, Metazoa, Chordata, Lepidosauria, Squamata, Agamidae. The record is from RefSeq and is a predicted model, not a curated record.